RNAcentral lists this microRNA precursor (103 nucleotides) under Spodoptera frugiperda (fall armyworm). RNAcentral's name for it is "microRNA sfr-mir-10452 precursor". Lineage: Eukaryota; Metazoa; Arthropoda; Insecta; Lepidoptera; Noctuidae. The record is from miRBase by way of RNAcentral.
UGGAAGAUGUUGAAGCACGUCAUCCUGUUUAUGGCUUUGGCCAUUUCUAUCAUUANUAAGAAGAAAUUGGCUUCAUACAUUAGAACGUGUCUGAACAGCGCCA